UCUUCUUUUCUCGUAGAAACUUUGUUUCAUUCUUCUCUUCAACCAAAUAAAUAAAAAGAAUAGAAUCAGUCUUCUCUGAUCUUCACCAUGUCAGCCACGACUCACUCCUUCUUCCGUCACUCCAAUCAACUCUUACGAAGAUACAAGUCAUGAUAUUCACUCGUACUUCAGCCCACGAGACUCUCCUUCUCCUUAACUCCAAUGUCCAUCUACUCAUAGCUUAUACAAGUCACGACUAAUGCUCAGCUCGAACCAUCAGAUCAGUCAGUUAUGUUUUCUCGGGAGAAUCUUGUUUCAAAAAAAGGCGAUCCAAAUCUGAUUUACACACCGAACAAUGAAAUGUUUUUAAAUCAACACUGCGGAAAGAGAGACUUGCUAUAUAUAUACUUCAGCACGGCAUGCGGUGUGGUGCUGAUCUACUGCGGUUUGAAGACGCGUAGGUUGUGGCCGACUCACGACUUGCUUCCUCCAGACCGGAAGGAAGGCUUCGAGUUGAAGCAGAUGGUUCGGGAGCCAGGUGUCAGAACCUAGCAAAACCAUCAGCAAAACCAUCGUGGGUGGAUCUCGCAUCUGCCGGUUCUAAUGGUGAUUCUCUGCAUCUGUUAAUAGGUUCAGAACUUCCUUAUGGGGGCUCGUACAAAUUAGACCAACCAACUUUGUAUGAUGUUGUAUGAUGGAAUAUCUAUGGGGCCCCUACUAUUAGACCAACUUUUUGGACUUCAAGCCAAAAAGACUAGCCAAAAAGACGCACACUCGUACAAAUUAGACCAACUUUGUAUGAUGUAUGAUUUAAGUAAAACGAAGCUUAUUGAGAUU
This is a long non-coding RNA of Capsella rubella, 816 nucleotides long. RefSeq lists it as uncharacterized. The transcript is spliced from 4 exons. Lineage: Eukaryota; Viridiplantae; Streptophyta; Magnoliopsida; Brassicales; Brassicaceae. The record is from RefSeq and is a predicted model, not a curated record.